This 510-nucleotide ribosomal RNA is filed under the name uncultured Entrophospora. RNAcentral's name for it is "SSU rRNA". It matches the Rfam family "Eukaryotic small subunit ribosomal RNA", at positions 569 to 1076 of the family's 1831-position model. The record is from RNAcentral. Lineage: Eukaryota; Fungi; Glomeromycota; Glomeromycetes; Entrophosporales; Entrophosporaceae.
AGCAGCCGCGGUAAUUCCAGCUCCAAUAGCGUAUAUUAAAGUUGUUGCAGUUAAAAAGCUCGUAGUUGAAUUUCGGGAUUGACGUGAUGGUCAUGCCUUAAGGGGUAUGAACUGUUACUGUUGAUUUCUCACCUUCUGGAGAAACUUGAUGUCCUUUAUUGGGUGUCUUGCGGAUCCAGGACCUUUACCUUGAAAAAUUAGAGUGUUUAAAGCAGGCAUUUUUGCUCGAAUACAUUAGCAUGGAAUAAUAGAAUAGGACGGCAUGGUUCUAUUUUGUUGGUUUCUAGGAUCACCGUAAUGAUUAAUAGGGAUAGUUGGGGGCAUUAGUAUUCAAUUGUCAGAGGUGAAAUUCUUGGAUUUAUUGAAGACUAACUACUGCGAAAGCAUUUGCCAAGGAUGUUUUCAUUAAUCAAGAACGAAAGUUAGGGGAUCGAAGACGAUCAGAUACCGUCGUAGUCUUAACCACUAAACUAUGCCGACUAGGAAUCAGACGAUGUUAAUUUUUAAUGU